Molecule: ribosomal RNA, 468 nt
Filed under: uncultured bacterium
Lineage: Bacteria
Description: partial 16S ribosomal RNA
Rfam family: Bacterial small subunit ribosomal RNA
Source: RNAcentral
GACGAACGCUGGCGGCGUGCUUAACACAUGCAAGUCGAACGGAAAGGCCCUGCUUUUGUGGGGUGCUCGAGUGGCGAACGGGUGAGUAACACGUGAGUAACCUGCCCUUGACUUUGGGAUAACUUCAGGAAACUGGGGCUAAUACCGGAUAGGAGCUCCUGCUGCAUGGUGGGGGUUGGAAAGUUUCGGCGGUUGGGGAUGGACUCGCGGCUUAUCAGCUUGUUGGUGGGGUAGUGGCUUACCAAGGCUUUGACGGGUCGCCGGCCUGAGAGGGUGACCGGCGACAUUGGGACUGAGAUACGGCCCAGACUCCUACGGGAGGCAGCAGUGGGGAAGAUUGCACAAUGGGCGGAAGCCUGAUGCAGCAACGCCGCGUGCGGGAUGACGGCCUUCGGGUUGUAAACCGCUUUCGCCUGUGACGAAGCGUGAGUGACGGUAAUGGGUAAAGAAGCACCGGCUAACUACGUG